RNAcentral lists this ribosomal RNA (59 nucleotides) under Dioszegia crocea. Its description in RNAcentral is "partial 26S ribosomal RNA". It matches the Rfam family "Eukaryotic large subunit ribosomal RNA", at positions 1 to 57 of the family's 3401-position model. Lineage: Eukaryota; Fungi; Basidiomycota; Tremellomycetes; Tremellales; Bulleribasidiaceae. The record is from RNAcentral.
UCUGACCUCGAAUCAGGUAGGACUACCCGCUGAACUUAAGCAUAUCAAUAAGCGGAGGA